GCUGCCGGGCCGGGGUGCGUCUCCGGGCUCCGGUCGGGACCCAGGACCAAGCCGCACACGCCCGGCAGGAUCCCUGGCCGCUGCGGACACUCACCCGCACCUGCCUCCGGUCCUCCUGGGCACGUCUCUCUUGCUCGAUUUGCUACGUAAGUGACUAGGUACCAGCACCAACUCCAAGUCGCCUCCGUGGUUUUCUGGAGGAGAGGAGAGGUUUUUCCGAGGCGAGACUGCCCUACCACUGCCAUCUAAUGAAUAACUGCUGCGGAGCCCAGGUCCUCAGAGGGGGACAGCGCAGCCCUGGCAGGAGGAAGAGUUUGAAAUGCGUGGACUUUUAAAAACAGGGAUUGGACCACGUGUCGCCUUUAAUGUGGCCCGCUCAUGACUCAGGCUAAUUGGUGUCAAUAAUAAAUAAGAAGGAGAUGGCUAAUAAAAGAGUUGUGAAUGUCUAGAUCCACUAGAAGUGUUUUGUCUCAAAAGCAAUCACGGUUGGGUAAGGGGGUUUGUUCUAAAGGAAAGGUGGGUUUUUUCUAUGACUCUAAUUGUAAAAGGUUUCCGCGUGACGUUAUGCAUCCUGUCAUUCAUGUUAAUUUUGAAAUUGUUAAGAGCUGAAAACAAACCAAAAGCUAUCAUAACGGAAACUUAGCCUUAUUUUUCACUAUAUUUAUUCCCUAGAUCAUUCUUCCUCUUGGAAAUUUUUCGUUCAAUUCAGCAAGUCAGUUGUAUAGAAGGGAAAUAAACCUUUUUUUAUUUAAGAGAGUUAUUCAUUUGAGAUUGUUUUGUUUAUUUGAAAUUCAAGUUAAUUUUUAAAUAAAAUAUUUUAGUGUUAGGUGUUCCUGGAUUUUAACAAAGAAAUAUAAUCAUAAAAAAGAAACUUAAAUUUGGCAUAUAUCAAUUAAAAUUAUAAACUGAAUAAUUAGAAUUUAUGCUGCUAAUUUCUAAAUAUUUCUUCAGAGAUUUUCAGCUUGAGGUUGAUCUUCAUACCUAUAAAUCCACUUUGGUGUUAGAUGUAAAGCAAUAUCAAUAUUAUGUGCUUAUUAUAUUUAGUGCCCAGAAUUUUUAAUAGAUACUUGUAAAUUACAACAAAUUUUAGAGCCUACUUUUUAAAGGCUAAUAUAAAACCUUUAAUUCCUACAUAAUAUAUUUUUAGUGCCUAAUGAAUUAUUUCUAAGAACAUAAGGAGGAAUAUAAAGAGAAAUGCAUGCAGUUAGCUAAAUUGUAGGGUUUAGUUUUUUUUAUUCAAAACAAUUUUUCAUUUGUGAAUUUUAAAAAUUAUCUGUUUUCUUGAAGUAGUGGGAAAUCAAUAGGAUUAAGGUAUUUUAGAAAGUGUAUUUAGCUUAGUAUUUUAGUAUAUUUUAUAUAACUUAGGAUUUUAGGGAAAAAUCAAAAUGAAGGUGGCAAAAAAUUUUGGUUGAAAAUGCAAACUAAUUUGACCACAUGAACAAAGAGGGUGAUUUUUAUUUCUUCAGUUAUGCUCUACCUACCGAAGUCAAACUUCUUUUUUAAACCUUGGAUUAAAAAAUCACAUAGAAAAAAUUUAAUUGUAAUCUUUGCUUUAUGACUGCAUUAACAAUGCAUCACACUUUUUGUUUUUCACAAUUUUCCCCAAAUGUCUUAUUGAUGCCCCCACUUUUGGAACAGAAACAGGUUACUUGUUUUCAUUUCUUAAAAACUCUGCUUAUCUGAAAUUAUCUUUCUAAACAUACCAGACUCUCCCAAACUGUAACACGUAUCAAGUAAAAAUAUGAGAAACAACUAAAUGACAAGUGAUAAUAUUGUGAUAUACUCCCAGAAUGGAGUGUUACUCAUCAUGAAAAACUAAUAGACUACAAGCUACACACAACAUGGAACACAAUGUUGAGUGAAAUAGGCAAGUUCCAGAACAUUCUAAAUGGCAUUUUAUAAACCUCAAAAACAAACAAAACUAAAAAUAUAUGAUAAAAAAAUUUUUAAGCAAGGAAAUUAAAUAUGUGAUAAAUUUUUGUUUGUUUUGUUCCAGCAAGAGGGUGAAUGAAGGACCCAAAAUUCAGGAUCGCAGCUGACUCUGGGAGGAGGAGACAGGAAAAGCCCAUGGCCAUAAACAAUGAUCUUGGAAAAGCUCUCAUUCUUGGGGAUAGUGAAUUUAUAGAUUUUGUUUUAAUUACUUUGCUUUAUAACUAACACAUAUGCUAUACAUAUUUGGAAGUAUAAAAUAUUAAAGAAGACAAAGAAAAAUAAGAGAUUCAUGAAAGAGAUCAUCCCAGUUUUCUGAUGAUUCUUCCAGAUUCCAAGCUGUUUGUAGAAAUAAGCUUGGAAGCGUUGGAGAACUACUGGAGUGAUAAACACUUAAUCUAGAUCUUUUCCUUAAGGAUACAUUUGAGAAGAAUGUGUAUCCAUAUCAUAUCAAUGCAAUUUAAGACACAAACAAAUAGCGGAACAAAAAAUUUUAAAAUAAUUAUUGACUUCAUAGGUAAUUGAGUUAAUUAAUUAAGAGUGCAUUACAUAAGAACAAACAAAUCUGUCUUGGAAGAAGUACAGCCAGAAUGCUCCUUGGAAGCGAGGGUAGCAAGAUUUCGUCUCGUGUAAUUUGGACAUGUUAUCAGGAGGGAGGAAACCCUGAUGAUGCAGUGGUUAAGUGCUACGGCUGCUAACCAAAGGGUCGGCAGUUCAAAUCUGCCAUGCGCUCCUUGGAAACUCUAUGGGGCAGUUCUGCUUUUGUCCUAUAGGGUCGCUAUGAGUGGGAAUCGACUUGACAGCACUGGGUUUGGUCUUUUUUUGGAUCAGGAGGGACCAGUCCCUGGGGAAUGACAUUAUGCUUGGUAAAGUAGAGGAUCAGUGAAAGAAAGGAAGAGCCUCAAAGAGAUGGAUUGACACAAUGGCUGCGACAAUGGGCAAAGAUUGUGAGGAUGGCACGAGACCAGGCAAUGUUUCGUUCUGUUGUACAUAGGUUCACUAUGAGUUGGAACUGACUUGAGGGCACCUAAUAAUAACAACACGUAAACUACGUGGCAGUUUCCUAUAAUGUUAAACUUAUGACCUAGCAGUUCAACCCCUAGGUAUUUACCCAAAAGAAAUGAAAACAUAUAUCCACAAAAAUAUCUGUAUGGGAAUGUCCAUAGCUGCUUUAUUCAUAACAGCAAAAAACUGGAAACAACCGAAAUGUACAUCAAAGGGAAAAAGGACAAACAAAUUUCGACGUAGCCAUUCAAUAUGAUACUGUUUAUCGAUAAAGAGGGACAAACUAGUAACACAUCCAAAAACAUGUAUGAGUCUCAAAAGCAUGAUUCUGAGUGAAAGAAAUCUGACACCAAAUAGUACACAUUGUAUUAGGCCAUUUACAUGAAAUUCAAGAACAGGCAAAACGGACCUGUGAGCUAGAAACCAGAACCAUGAUUACCUCUGGCAGAGGCAGAGGGAGGUGACUAGGCACAGAGAAGAACAGAGAACGUUCUAGGAUGAUGGCAAUGCUCUGUAUCUUUUUUUAUUUUUUGCAAUGCUCUGUAUCUUGAUUAAGGAGCUCUGGUGGAGCCAUGGUUAAACGCUUGGCUGCUAACUGAAAGGUUGGUGGUUCAAACCCACUCAGUGGCUCUGAGGGAGAGAAACCUGGUGUUCUACUGCUGUAGAGAUUAAAAAAAAAACCUUCGGGGCAUUUCUACUCUGUCACACAGGGUUGCUCUGGGUCAGAAUCCACUUAACAGCACCUAACAACAACACAUCUCAAUUGGUGUGUUGGCCAAACUAAAAAAAAAAAAAAAAAACCCUUUGCUGUAGAGUUGCUUCCAACUCCUAGUGACCCUAUAGGACAGAGUAGAACUGCCCCAUGGGGUCUCCAAGGAGCGCCUGGUAGAUUCGAACUGCUGAUCUCUUGGUUAGCAGCCAUAGCUCUUAGGCGCUACGCCACCAGGGUUUCCGUUGGCUAUAUUUGUGUAUGUAUUUAUCAAAAACACAGAACUAUACCCUUGAAAUGGGCACAUAUCAUAUCUCAAAAAAAUAAAAAUUGAAGAGUGCAUUAUGUAACUUAGAAAUGUUGCAGCUGUUCGAAUAAACUGUAACGUAAUUCUUCUCAUUUUUUCUUACGUGAGUGUAUGUAGUAGAGAUGCUCUCCUCCAAGCUUCCCAUCCGCAGCUGUGUCUUUAGAAGGAUGGACUUUUCAGAGGUGUAUCUGCCUCAGGUGCCCUGCAAGAGGCUUUAGCUGUGCAAGGUGCCAAAGAAGAGGUUUCCACGAGUGCAGUCCAGGAGCAGACAAGACACGAGUGAUGCACGAGUUGGCUCCAGUCCAACAUAGCCACAAACAAUGUGAGUCUCUAUCUCCUUGAGAUCUGUGUACACUCAGCUUGAGAAGAAACUAGCUCUGCAGAGAUAGACAGCUCACAGGGCCAAAAUGCUGACAUUCCUCCCGGAUACUUCAGAAGCAAUGUGGAGGUUUCUGAGAGCAUUUGGGCAGAAAUAGCCAGAUUGAUGUCUUUUGUGACUACUUUCAGCACCGUGUUCAGCAAAACAUCAAUAAGGGAAGUCCUUGGAAAACCCAGGCCUUAUCCCGGAGUAACAAGCAUGCUUGGGACCUCUAUAGACUCAAGGUGCAGACUGGAAGCUUCCCAUCUCUGCACCAAUGCUCUGGGCAUGGGCCUCCACAGACGGGCAUGAGCCUGUGCCAGUGCUUUAAGGGUGGGCAUGCUGGACUCCCCCACAUGGUCAUUAAGUACUGUUAGGAGUGCUGGCAUUUGAUUUGUUGGUAUUGAUUAAGAAUAUGACUGUACUAUUAAGUGCCAGAAGAACAAACAAAUCAGUCUUAGAAGAAAUACAACAACAAUGCUCCUUAAAAGUGAGGAUGUCAGGACUUCACCUUGCUUACUUUGGACUCAUCAUCGGGAGGCACCAAUCGCUGGGGAAGAACACCAUGGUUGGUGAAGUAGAGGGUCAGCAAAAGAGAGGAAGAGCCUAAAGGAAAUGGAUUGACACAGUGGUUGCAACAAUAGGCUGAAACAUAGUGACGAUUAUGAGGAUGGCACACAAGCAGGCAACAUUUUCUUCUGUUAUACGUAAGGUUGCUAUGAGCUGGAGCUGAUUUGAUGGCAAAUGACAACAGGGAACGCUGUAAUAGUGCCUCUGCUGUGUCACUUGUCAUUCCUGGUGGUCCGUCUCUGAGAUGGGUGUGCCCUUUUAAGUCUUCCACGUAAUUACUUUUCAAACGUGUCAAUAGUAAGGAUCUCUGCCUGGCAGAGAGUGCGAAAUGAUGCCUCUUCAUUUUUGAAAUGCAUCAUGGAUACACCUGAAAAAAAAAAGUGGAGUUAAAUCAAAAUUUCUGUUCCCUCUGAUGAAUGUCACCUGCUCUGAGAUGUUUUAUCAGCAGUACAUGUCUGCCCUGCCCUGCCCCACUCGGCAAAGCUGUGUGACUUUCUGCAGGUCACUUCGCCUCUGUUUUCUCCUCUGCAAAAUGACCCUGUUGGAGUAGACCUUCCUGCUCUAAAAUGCCAUGAUUCCUCAUUUGUUUAGUUUUUAAUUGACAGGUGGUACUUUGGGACCUCAUACUUUAGCUAUAUGUUUCUUACCUUUAUAGCUUUAUAAGGUCACUAUGAAUCACAAUCAACUUGAUGGCAACGAGUUUGGUUUGUUUGGUCUCCUAACUCUGCCCUCUCUGUCUAGUAGUUAAUAGUCUAUAAAUCAACGCACAGGCAGUAGCAGUCAAGCUCAGGGAAUAAUCGCUUCAUAAUUUGUUUUAUUAAUGCAUAUUUUUCACACGUUAGGGUUUCUUAGAGAAGUACACAUUUUUUUUAGCAGUGCUGAAUUCUCAUAUUUAUUUUCCUAAGAAUAAGAGUGUGGAAAGACAAGUAGAAACAUCACCAUGGCAGGGAGAAGGGGCCACAGAUCAUCAACAAAGGCGCUCAUCUCGCAACUGAUCAGGGGGAAUGUUUCUGCAAAAUGUUCUUUUUGGAAUAUUAAGUUCUGUUAUUAUUGUUCUUAGCUGCCGCUGAGUCAGCCCCCAACUCGUAACAACCCCGUGUACAACAGAAAGAAAUGCUACCCAGUCCUGCACCAUCCCCACGAUCAGCUGCAGGUGAACAAUUGUGAUCCAUUGGGUUUUCAUCGCCUGGUUUUCAGAAGUAGGUCACCAGGCAUUUCCUCCUAGUCCAUCUGAGUUUAGAAGCUCUGCUGAAACCUGUUCAGCAUCUUAGCAACACACAAGUCUCCACUGAGGUGCAUUGGCCAGGAGUAAAGCCCACAUCUCCCACAUGGAAGACAAGGACUGUACCACCGAACCACAAGUGCAUAUUAAGCUCUAGUGGAACCUUAUUCUGUAGAAUAUGUUUGUACAUUUAUUCAGCAAAUAUUUAUUUAGAAACUUUGAUGUGCCAGGCUUUCUACUAGCAACAAAUUCUGUGUCUGGCCUCACAGACAGGUUAGGAACAAGCAAGAUCUUGAAAUUAUGCAGAUGACUGCUACUCUGUGGUGCGGAUACCUCAUCUGGUGAACCAAAGUUCAUUUGCAUUUGUCCUUGGAAAACUAUUGACCAACCAGAGGACAGAAUACUGAUGCAGGCACCAGAACAGGAAAGCAGCUGGUACUACACCCCAUGAGAAAUGGAAAAGACAACAGAAAAAGAAACUAGUUUGCCCUACCAGGAAGGGAAGCGUUAAACCUUUUCAUGGCCAGUGGAAUGUACAAUUGCUCACCAAUACUUUCUAUCUCUCAGGUUCAUUGGGAAGCUGCUUUCCCACUGAUAGUGCACGCUGCUUCAAGACAGGGGGCUUUAUGGUUGUUUGAAACUGAAAAAAUAGGUAUGUGCCACAAAUUACUGUUUCUAGAGGGAGUUUUAUGAGGUAUGUGCAUUUUUGGUAGGCAAAAUAGAAAUUUUGAAAAUUUUGGAGGGACACAUAUGUCCCAGUGGACUCAGGAUGGGAGAAUUAGUGAGACAAUGUAUGUUCCUCUGGGCUCUAAGGGUAAGCUUGUGGGAGAGGCCAAGAAAAAAAAAAAAUUCAUAGUACCUACCCAAAAUUCAACAACACUCAGUGAUUCAGCAUGCUUCUAUUAAGAAAAACACUUGGUAUAAACAAAAAGUUUCAAAGCAAAAAAUAAUUCGGUCUUGAGAGGGUUAUAUGACUUCUAGUUUCCAGCACCUGAAAAAUCACAAUUGGGCUUGAUUCAUACGACUCCAACAGGUAGAACUAGACCAACAGGAAGGAAGACAGAUUUCAGCUCUUUUUCAAAAGUUUUCGUCUUCGCCAAUAGGAGCAAGUACUUAGCACUACCUUGCAGUCUGCUUGGAGCACUGCCUUGUACUCAGGGAGAGCUCUCCGUCACUGAAAUGUCCAUGUAGAAACAGAAUCCACAACUGCGGAAACUGUCCAGAGACAUGCUGGGAUGAUGGAGAGGAUGACAGGGUAAUCUCUGAGGUUUCUUCCAGUCCCGGGAUCACAGAAACUCCGACGAAAUAGCUCCUGAAAGAAGCUCAAGGCCCACUUCCAAAAGCCUGAAAUGUCGAGUUAAGAGAUCAAUUAUUGCUGUCAAACCAGAUAUAUUGUGGGAGAUGGCUGAGGCAAGAGGGAACCAAGUCCUCAAAUCAACUAUUUCUUCAAGGAGCCCUGGUCCCCAAAAUUUGGAGUUUGGAGUCCACCCAGAGGUGCCUCGAAAGAAUGGCCUAAUGAUCUACUUCUGAAAAAUCAGCCAUUGAAAACCCUGUAGAGCACAGUUCUACUCUGAAACAUACGGAUUAGGAUCAACUCAACGGCAAGUGGUUCCAGUACACUGAUAUAUGUUUGUUGUUGUUAGGUGUGGUUGGGUUGCUUCAACUCAAUGUGACCCUAUGUACAACAGAAUGAAACAUUGCACAAUCUUCACAAUCAUUAGUGUGCUUCAGCCCAUUGUUGCAGCCACCUUGUCAAUCCAUCUCACUGAUGGUUUGAUAUAUAUUAAACCAACUAUACAGUUUUUUUUUAUACAGUUCAUAUGAAGCUAAACAUGAGCUCAUUCUGAUGUCUCCAACUCUAAUCCAGUUCCAUGUAGAUGGUUCUAGCCUAUUCUAUGUUCUUGUCUGUAAAUUCCCACUCCCACAGUGAGAAACCUGGAUCCCACCAUCUGCCAUCCAUUUACUUAAUGGUUCAAUUUAUAAUUUUUUUAAAAGAAGAAAAAUAAAAGCUGCAGGGAAAUGCUUUAACUAAUCGAAUCAAGGUGCCUAGAAUUGGAUUCUGUUGUCUGUGAUCAAUUACCCUGACAGGGAUGGUGACCAACGACUGCUUUGUUUCCUUCCACCAAGGGUUCCUCUGUGGUGUUCCAGGAAUUUGGAAGAGGGCUGCAAAGUUCUGCCCAGGCUGGGAGGGGGUAGAAAGAAGUCUUAAAGACAUGACCAGUUCCCCUGCCCAAACUCCAGGUUGGCUCUGCUUCAAGCUGUUUUAUAGAUUGGAUUUUGGCUCAGUAGUUCAUUUGGAAAAAAUGAUUCCAUUACUUAAAAA
Loxodonta africana (African savanna elephant) is the source of this 8423-nucleotide long non-coding RNA. RefSeq lists it as uncharacterized. Lineage: Eukaryota; Metazoa; Chordata; Mammalia; Proboscidea; Elephantidae. The record is from RefSeq and is a predicted model, not a curated record. The transcript is spliced from 3 exons.